GAUGAACGCUGGCGGCGUGCCUAAUACAUGCAAGUCGAGCGAACGGACGAGGAGCUUGCUUCUCUGAUGUUAGCGGCGGACGGGUGAGUAACACGUGGAUAACCUACCUAUAAGACUGGGAUAACUUCGGGAAACCGUAGCUAAUACCGGAUAAUAUUUUGAACCGCAUGGUUCAAUAGUGAAAGACGGUCUUGCUGUCACUUAUAGAUGGAUCCGCGCUGCAUUAGCUAGUUGGUAAGGUAACGGCUUACCAAGGCAACGAUGCAUAGCCGACCUGAGAGGGUGAUCGGCCACACUGGAACUGAGACACGGUCCAGACUCCUACGGGAGGCAGCAGUAGGGAAUCUUCCGCAAAGGGCGAAAGCCUGACGGAGCAACGCCGCGUGAGUGAUGAAGGUCUUCGGAUCGUAAAACUCUGUUAUUAGGGAAGAACAAAUGUGUAAGUAACUGUGCACAUCUUGACGGUACCUAAUCAGAAAGCCACGGCUAACUACGUG
Molecule: ribosomal RNA, 497 nt
Filed under: uncultured bacterium
Lineage: Bacteria
Description: partial 16S ribosomal RNA
Rfam family: Bacterial small subunit ribosomal RNA
Source: RNAcentral